GGACCCAGGGUCAGCCCUCGUGGUACUGAUCUCAGCACGCUGUGGAUGGAGUCUCUCAUGUUCCCGCAGUCUUCAUCCCUUCCAGUCUCUGUAGCCACUAGAUAAACACAUGACAUGCUGCAGGCCGGUCCCAGAGGUGCGGAGACCCAGCACGCAGCGGCCCAGCGGGAGAAGGGUCCCGGGACUGGCCAGGUUCAGUACCUCCAAUUCAACGCUGGAUUUAGCCAGUAACUCACUGGGCAGCUCCAACAUCAUCAUCUCGUUCCAGACCGGAUUCAUCUUGUGCUUCACUCGCCGCGUCUGCUUCUUCUUCAGCUUGGCAUUUAGAUGUUUCAAGUUUGUCUGACUGUAGUCCUCUUGCCUUCAUUACCACCACCCCAAGUCUAUUGGCUGCUGGCAGAUAACUGAGUGACAAUAGAAGCUCUCCAGAUGAUGAUGCCACUUCCUGCUGAAAAAGACUGG
Carassius auratus (goldfish) is the source of this 462-nucleotide long non-coding RNA. RefSeq lists it as uncharacterized. The transcript has 3 exons. The record is from RefSeq and is a predicted model, not a curated record. NCBI's taxonomy places the organism in Eukaryota, Metazoa, Chordata, Actinopteri, Cypriniformes, Cyprinidae.